UACGUAGGGUGCAAGCGUUGUCCGGAAUUAUUGGGCGUAAAGAGCUCGUAGGCGGUUUGUCGCGUCGAAUGUGAAAACCCGGGGCUCAACCCCGGGCCUGCAUUCGAUACGGGCAGACUAGAGUUCGGCAGGGGAGACUGGAAUUCCUGGUGUAGCGGUGAAAUGCGCAGAUAUCAGGAGGAACACCGGUGGCGAAGGCGGGUCUCUGGGCCGACACUGACGCUGAGGAGCGAAAGCGUGGGGAGCGAACAGG
Molecule: ribosomal RNA, 253 nt
Filed under: uncultured bacterium
Lineage: Bacteria
Description: partial 16S ribosomal RNA
Rfam family: Bacterial small subunit ribosomal RNA
Source: RNAcentral